Molecule: long non-coding RNA, 1169 nt
Filed under: Gallus gallus (chicken)
Lineage: Eukaryota; Metazoa; Chordata; Aves; Galliformes; Phasianidae
Description: long non-coding RNA NONGGAT003804
Source: RNAcentral
GCUAGGGAAGGCCGAAGGGAAAUCGGGACGUGGGCACGUGCCAGCUGUAGUUGAGGUGGGUAUGUCCAGCGCUGCCCUCAGCAGCCUCCAUGCAGGAAGGCACAUCCAUCUCUGUCUGGGCUACUGCUACAUCCUCUUAUGCAGUGCUUCAAGGCUGAGGUGGAAUGCCGCAUAAGGUAAAGGUAGCUGUCUUUGUUUAACAUCACACUGCAUCCGAAGUGUGUAUGGCGGUUUUGUAAAGGAUUUACGUGACUCCUUGUAGUUUCUAGGGGGCAGCACAAAAUUGUGGUUUUGAGUUACAGAAUCCUUUGUGUUGUGGGUCUGGUCAGCUUUCCAGCCAUCUCUGCCUAGAGCUGUCAUCCAGAAGUGUGUGGAUCCUUCUGUUUUUACAUACUGACGGCUCAUUGAAACCUCGUUACUAGAAACUACUUUUAUCCUGCUCUAAAGAGACUUAAUGGUUUUUGCAGAUGUGUCACAGAACCAUGGAAUGGUUUGGGUAGGAAGGGGCGUUAAGGAUCAGCUAGUUCUACACCCCUGCCAUAAGCAAUAAGCUGAAACUUCACGCGAGCUGUUUUGCUGAGGUGUUUUGUUGAUGGGGUAGGAGUGAAGACAGGGAACAUGCAUCUGGUUUUAGUGUUUGAUGAUGUGUCAUAUUAUUGGACUCCAAACAAGCACGUUUACCAUUUCUAUGUACCCGGAAUCAUUACUGGUCUCAUGUCUAUAGCCCAGUCUAUAGGAGAAAACAGUCAAUGAAUGCAGUGUGCUCAGGCUCUUAAAAGAUAGAAGGUGGAAGCAGCCACAGAUAUGGACGCCAGGCCUCUCAGUGGAACAGCUGGAUUGAAAAAAAUUCAGGGAAAAUGGAGCAUUUCAUGAAUGACUGAGAGCCAUCAUAGUUGCAUUAGCGCACAAGUUGCCUAGCGAAGUGAACUCAAACAAAGCCGAUUUCAGUAAAGACAAACUGGUGCUGAACAGUCGCCUGGACAGCAACUGCAACAAUUUAAUGCCUUUGAGAGAAAAAGUGACUUUUUUUUUCUUUUUUUUUAAAGGACUUCAUCCUAUGGAAGGAAGGGAAUAAUUCAGAGAUCAGGAAAAACCAGAAAUGGCUGCCUUGCCUGUGAAGGAGACCGGGCUAAAAUUCCUUGAGAUCUGUCUAGGCCCCUCUUCCAGCA